RNAcentral lists this ribosomal RNA (484 nucleotides) under uncultured bacterium. Its description in RNAcentral is "partial 16S ribosomal RNA". It matches the Rfam family "Bacterial small subunit ribosomal RNA", at positions 30 to 507 of the family's 1533-position model. The record is from RNAcentral.
AUUGAACGCUGGCGGCAGGCCUAACACAUGCAAGUCGAGCGGACGAAGGGAGCUUGCUCCUGGAUUCAGCGGCGGACGGGUGAGUAAUGCCUAGGAAUCUGCCUGGUAGUGGGGGAUAACGUCCGGAAACGGGCGCUAAUACCGCAUCCGUCCUGAGGGAGAAAGUGGGGGAUCUUCGGACCUCACGCUAUCAGAUGAGCCUAGGUCGGAUUAGCUAGUUGGUGGGGUAAAGGCCUACCAAGGCGACGAUCCGUAACUGGUCUGAGAGGAUGAUCAGUCACACUGGAACUGAGACACGGUCCAGACUCCUACGGGAGGCAGCAGUGGGGAAUAUUGGACAAUGGGCGAAAGCCUGAUCCAGCCAUGCCGCGUGUGUGAAGAAGGUCUUCGGAUUGUAAAGCACUUUAAGUUGGGAGGAAGGGCAGUAAGUUAAUACCUUGCUGUUUUGACGUUACCAACAGAAUAAGCACCGGCUAACUUCGUG